This 226-nucleotide long non-coding RNA is filed under the name Capsicum annuum. RNAcentral describes it as "long non-coding RNA (CANN_LNC006118)". Lineage: Eukaryota; Viridiplantae; Streptophyta; Magnoliopsida; Solanales; Solanaceae. The record is from RNAcentral.
UUUAUGGAUUUUCUGGUGUAUGUGAUCGGAACAAUAACAGGAAUAGGAAAAGGGGCGGCGCAGCACUACCUUCAUCGGCCGGAAGCGUGGGAAAAGGGAAAGGGAGAAAUGGCGACAGAUCUAUUUGGAAACAAGAUGAUUCGCCAGAUUUGGGGGAAUCGGAUCUGGUUUCGGGUAGUGAUUCUGGCGACGGGGAGGGGAGAAGAGACGACAGGGGUGGUUAUCG